This is a long non-coding RNA of Zea mays, 1051 nucleotides long. RefSeq annotates it as MIR164cHG. The transcript has 2 exons. The record is from RefSeq and is marked validated. Lineage: Eukaryota; Viridiplantae; Streptophyta; Magnoliopsida; Poales; Poaceae.
AGUCCGAUUGGAUCGGCCCGGCCGCCGUCCCCGUCCGUCCGUCCGGUGUGUCAACCGUACACCACCUCUCGCCUCCUGUCAAUUCCCUUCCCGGUCCCCCACCGGAGCCAGCCAGAGGACCCUACCGCGGGGCGAGGUCGUUGGAUUAUUAAUCCUCCCUCGCUGGGUCGUCUUCUCCGAUCGUCGUCGUCCACACACGAGUCACGCAUGCCCGGCCGGCCCUACCUCUACCUGGCCUUCUUGUUGGCUCCAAUCGGCCUCUCCGAGCUAGCAAGGUCCCUGCUGCCUCACUGUUGCCACGCGUGUACGCGUAUUUCUGCCCAGUGGCAGCGCCAGUACACUACCUCGAUCGCUCUACACCGUGCAUAUACAUGCAUACGCGCGCCAGGCGGCAGCCGGCAGGAGGCCGGAGUGAGUGGCUGGAAGGAGAGAGCGCUUGAGUGCGGUGCAUAUGCUCAGGCUAGCUCAGCGCGCACCGUCUCCGGCAUGCAUGCAUAUGGGCUGGGCGGCAUGGCAGCUCGAUCGAUGUGUGCUGAGGAUGGCGAGGUGCGCGCGGUGGAGAAGCAGGGCACGUGCAUUCUUUCCGUCGCCGGCCGGCUUGGCAGCGGCCGGCGGCCCGGCUCUCGCAGUCACGCGUACGUCGCCUGAGCGGCGCGCGCGAGAGAGAGAGACACGGCAGGUCGUCGCCGGCGCGGCUAACUGGUGCAGGUGCAGCAGCUAGCUUCUGAAACCCAGCCAGCCAGCCAGCCGGCCGGCCGGCCGAUCGAUGCGUGCAUGUGCCCUUCUUCUCCAUCGGGCACGCCUCGCCUGCGCUGCGCACCCCCUUCUGUGAGUGCAUGCAAGUAAGCAAAAAGACUGUCUGUACUUUAAUUUUCACCUCGAGCAGGGUGCAGCCUCUGCAAGUCUGCAUGCAUGGACCGCCGCCCCCAGGUUCUUGGAAGCGGCGGCCGGCUGCAAAGUAAAGCAUGCAUGCGCAUGUGAGUCUAAUGUUUUGCUUCCCUCAUCGUUGGAUCUCUUUUGCUAAUAUAAUCAUUAGUACCAAUUUCGAUGA